Molecule: long non-coding RNA, 294 nt
Organism: Mustela erminea (ermine)
Lineage: Eukaryota; Metazoa; Chordata; Mammalia; Carnivora; Mustelidae
Exons: 3
Source: RefSeq, a predicted model, not a curated record
GGAAGGGCCAUGGAGGACUUUCAACCAAAGAUGAGCAUUUUCUUGAAUACUUAAAGAAUAAAUUGUGAAAAGUUUGGGCCACAGUUAGAACAUGGGUGAGGGAGGAGUCUCCUUUGCCAGGAGGACUGGCAAAGGGCCAGCUCACAGUGGAUAUUAUCAGCCAUGGCAAGUGCUUUACAAAUGACAAGAGACUUUUACUGAGGCCCAGAGAGAGCAGUACUUUGCCAAGUUUGGACUCAAACAUGGGUCUUUUGACCCUAAUUCCAGGUGUUUUCUCCCACAAUAAAGCUGCCU